Molecule: long non-coding RNA, 243 nt
Filed under: Setaria viridis
Lineage: Eukaryota; Viridiplantae; Streptophyta; Magnoliopsida; Poales; Poaceae
Description: long non-coding RNA (SVIR_LNC006642)
Source: RNAcentral
UUUUCCAAGGGCUCCCGUUGCUCGCCAGCACACCUGAAGCCUAGCAGUUUAGCUAGUGGGGUUUAUGCUAAGCUGUUGCCCAUACAACGGUCGAGUGGUUGCACGAUGAUGGAAUUAGGCAGGAUGACACAUCAACUCGGUCCUUAGCCAUGACAAGAUGGAUAUCUCCCAUUCUGCUCAACCACUAAGGUACGAGCCCAACAACCCGGCAUUCCACACGAGAAACACCUAUCCAUCUCAUCC